Molecule: ribosomal RNA, 475 nt
Filed under: uncultured organism
Description: partial 16S ribosomal RNA
Rfam family: Bacterial small subunit ribosomal RNA
Source: RNAcentral
GUACACUCCUGCGGGAGGCAGCAGUGGGGAAUUUUGGACAAUGGGCGAAAGCCUGAUCCAGCAAUGCCGCGUGAGUGAAGAAGGCCUUCGGGUUGUAAAGCUCUUUUGUCAGGGAAGAAACGGUGAGAGCUAAUAUCUCUUGCUAAUGACGGUACCUGCAGAAUAAGCACCGGCUAACUACGUGCCAGCAGCCGCGGUAAUACGUAGGGUGCAAGCGUUAAUCGGAAUUACUGGGCGUAAAGCGUGCGCAGGCGGUUUUGUAAGUCUGAUGUGAAAUCCCCGGGCUCAACCUGGGAAUUGCAUUGGAGACUGCAAGGCUAGAAUCUGGCAGAGGGGGGUAGAAUUCCACGUGUAGCAGUGAAAUGCGUAGAUAUGUGGAGGAACACCGAUGGCGAAGGCAGCCCCCUGGGUAAAGAUUGACGCUCAUGCACGAAAGCGUGGGGAGCAAACAGGAUUAGAACCCCGAGUAGUCCCA